AUGGUGAAUGUGUUAUAGUUAUGCAGAUUAGAGCUUUUUUAUUGGUUGCAAUGUAAGGAUAAGAAAUAAGCAAAAAUAUAUUUUAUAUCUUUGAUAUUAUUUAAUAGGAAAUCAAACAUAGUUUGCUACAAGUAAGUACAUCUAAUUUGAAAAAAGAAUCUUCUAACUUUAAGCAAUGAAUUUUUUUUCUUUGGUGAUCCAACUGAUAUGUGUGAAAGUUCAAUUGUUUCAGCAU
Molecule: long non-coding RNA, 235 nt
Filed under: Elaeis guineensis (African oil palm)
Lineage: Eukaryota; Viridiplantae; Streptophyta; Magnoliopsida; Arecales; Arecaceae
Description: long non-coding RNA (EGUI_LNC020600)
Source: RNAcentral